CCUACGGGAGGCAGCAGUGAGGAAUAUUGGUCAAUGGGCGGGAGCCUGAACCAGCCAAGUCGCGUGAGGGAAGACGGUCCUAUGGAUUGUAAACCUCUUUAGGCGGGGAGCAAUGCCGGGCACGCGUGCCCGGAGGGAGAGUACCCGCAGAAUAAGCAUCGGCUAACUCCGUGCCAGCAGCCGCGGUAAUACGGAGGAUGCGAGCGUUAUCCGGAUGUAUUGGGUUUAAAGGGUGCGUAGGCGGAUUUUUAAGUCAGCGGUAAAAUGUCCGGGCUCAACCCGGGCCGGCCGUUGAAACUGGGGAUCUUGAGUGGGCGAGAAGUAUGCGGAAUGCGUGGUGUAGCGGUGAAAUGCACAGAUAUCACGCAGAACUCCGAUUGCGAAGGCAGCAUACCGGCGCCCGACUGACGCUGAGGCACGAAAGCGUGGGGAUCGAACAGGAUUAGAUACCCUAGUAGUC
This 460-nucleotide ribosomal RNA is filed under the name uncultured bacterium. RNAcentral's name for it is "partial 16S ribosomal RNA". It matches the Rfam family "Bacterial small subunit ribosomal RNA", at positions 338 to 795 of the family's 1533-position model. The record is from RNAcentral.